This 445-nucleotide ribosomal RNA is filed under the name uncultured bacterium. RNAcentral describes it as "partial 16S ribosomal RNA". It matches the Rfam family "Bacterial small subunit ribosomal RNA", at positions 354 to 796 of the family's 1533-position model. The record is from RNAcentral.
GUGAGGAAUAUUGGACAAUGGGCGAGAGCCUGAACCAGCCAAGUCGCGUGAAGGAAGAAGGAUCUAUGGUUCGUAAACUUCUUUUGCAGGGGAAUAAAGUGCGGGACGUGUCCUGUUUUGUAUGUACCCUGAGAAUAAGGAUCGGCUAACUCCGUGCCAGCAGCCGCGGUAAUACGGAGGAUCCGAGCGUUAUCCGGAUUUAUUGGGUUUAAAGGGUGCGUAGGUGGUUUGAUAAGUCAGCGGUGAAAGUUUGCAGCUUAACUGUAAAAAUGCCGUUGAAACUGUCGGACUUGAGUGUAAAUGAGGUAGGCGGAAUGCGUGGUGUAGCGGUGAAAUGCAUAGAUAUCACGCAGAACUCCGAUUGCGAAGGCAGCUUACUAAGCUACAACUGACACUGAAGCACGAAAGCGUGGGGAUCAAACAGGAUUAGAUACCCCAGUAGUCC